CCUACGGGGGGCUGCAGUGAGGAAUAUUGGUCAAUGGGCGCGAGCCUGAACCAGCCAAGUCGCGUGAGGGAAGACGGUCCUAUGGAUUGUAAACCUCUUUUGUCGGGGAGUAAAAUACGCCACGCGUGGCGUUCUGUGUGUACCCGAUGAAUAAGCAUCGGCUAACUCCGUGCCAGCAGCCGCGGUAAUACGGAGGAUCCGAGCGUUAUCCGGAUUUAUUGGGUUUAAAGGGUGGGAAGGCGGAAGAUCAAGUCAGCGGUAAAAUUGGGAGGCUCACCCUCUUCGAGCCGUUGAAACUGGUAGUCUUGAGUGAGUGAGAGGUAUGCGGAAUGCGUGGUGUAGCGGUGAAAUGCUUAGAUAUCACGCAGAACUCCGAUUGCGAAGGCAGCAUACCGGAGCGCAACUGACGCUCAUGCACGAAAGUGUGGGUAUCGAACAGGAUUAGAUACCCGAGUAGUC
This 459-nucleotide ribosomal RNA is filed under the name uncultured bacterium. Its description in RNAcentral is "partial 16S ribosomal RNA". It matches the Rfam family "Bacterial small subunit ribosomal RNA", at positions 338 to 795 of the family's 1533-position model. The record is from RNAcentral.